RNAcentral lists this ribosomal RNA (494 nucleotides) under uncultured bacterium. Its description in RNAcentral is "partial 16S ribosomal RNA". It matches the Rfam family "Bacterial small subunit ribosomal RNA", at positions 28 to 507 of the family's 1533-position model. The record is from RNAcentral.
GACGAACGCUGGCGGCGUGCUUAACACAUGCAAGUCGAACGGUGAAGCGCCUUCCUUUUUGGUGGGUGUGGAUGAGUGGCGAACGGGUGAGUAACACGUGAGUAACCUGCCCCCUUCUUCUGGAUAACCGCAUGAAAGUGUGGCUAAUACGGGAUAUUCUGGGUCUGUCGCAUGAUGGGUCUGGGAAAGAUAUUGUUUCGGUGGGGGAUGGGCUCGCGGCCUAUCAGCUUGUUGGUGGGGUGAUGGCCUACCAAGGCGGUGACGGGUAGCCGGCCUGAGAGGGUGGACGGUCACACAGGGACUGAGACACGGCCCAGACUCCUACGGGAGGCAGCAGUGGGGAAUAUUGCACAAUGGGCGCAAGCCUGAUGCAGCGACGCCGCGGGAGGGAUGGAGGCCGUCGGGUUGUGAACCUCUUUCGCCAGUGAAGCAGGGCUGCCUCGUUUGUGGGUGGGUUGACGGUAGCUGGAUAAGAAGCGCCGGCUAACUACGUG